RNAcentral lists this ribosomal RNA (460 nucleotides) under uncultured bacterium. RNAcentral's name for it is "partial 16S ribosomal RNA". It matches the Rfam family "Bacterial small subunit ribosomal RNA", at positions 338 to 795 of the family's 1533-position model. The record is from RNAcentral.
CCUACGGGCGGCAGCAGUGAGGAAUAUUGGUCAAUGGCCGGAAGGCUGAACCAGCCAUGCCGCGUGUAGGUCAGUGCCCUAUGGGCGUUAAACUUCUUUUGUGCGGGAGCAAUGAUGGUCACGUGUGGCCAGACGAGAGUACCGUACGCAUAAGCAUCGGCUAACUCCGUGCCAGCAGCCGCGGUAAAACGGGGGAGGCAAGCGUUAUCCGGAUUUGGUGGGGUUGAAGGGUGCGUACGCUGGGCUGUAAGUCAGCGUGGAAAUGCCCCCGCGCAACGGGGGGAAGUGCCAUUGAUACUGGCUUGCUGGAGUGCGGAAGCGGUGGGUGGAAUGUGUGGUGUAGCGGUGAAAUGCAUAGAUAUCACACAGAACACCGAUUGCGAAGGCAGCUCACGAAUCCGCGACUGACGCUGAGGCACGAAAGCGUGGGUAUCAAACAGGAUUAGAUACCCCGGUAGUC